GGGGGUGUAGUUCAGUGGUAGAGUGCUUGCCUAGUGUUCAUGAGGCCCUGGGUUCAAUCCCCAUUACCACCA
Molecule: transfer RNA, 72 nt
Filed under: Heterocephalus glaber (naked mole-rat)
Lineage: Eukaryota; Metazoa; Chordata; Mammalia; Rodentia; Bathyergidae
Rfam family: tRNA
About the family: Transfer RNA (tRNA) molecules are approximately 80 nucleotides in length. Their secondary structure includes four short double-helical elements and three loops (D, anti-codon, and T loops). Further hydrogen bonds mediate the characteristic L-shaped molecular structure. tRNAs have two regions of fundamental functional importance: the anti-codon, which is responsible for specific mRNA codon recognition, and the 3' end, to which the tRNAs corresponding amino acid is attached (by aminoacyl-tRNA synthetases). tRNAs cope with the degeneracy of the genetic code in two manners: having more than one tRNA (with a specific anti-codon) for a particular amino acid; and 'wobble' base-pairing, i.e. permitting non-standard base-pairing at the 3rd anti-codon position.
Source: Rfam by way of RNAcentral